UUCACAGGAUCAUUUCUGUAGUCAGUCUUCACUUACUUUCGCACAAAUAGAAAGCCAAACACACCCGCGUUGAUGAGUUAAAUCGUCCUAUUCGGCAGCGUGAGGUUUUGCCCAGCGCCCUUUCUGGCGCGGCACUUCGGUGUCCGUGUCGUUCGGGGCGCAGAGCUUCGAUGAUCGCUCGGUAAAACGGAUAGAACGAAUUCUGAGUGGUGUACCCUUUUUAACAAAUACAUUUGACAAAAUUAUAACAAGUUCUAGAAAUAUAACAUCGGCCUUGUCGUCGGUUUGUUUCCUGCUUGCUUCUUCCCCUGGCAGUGUUAUUGUUGUUCUACUUUGGGAAGCAAUUAAAACACCACUUGACAGCGGCAAGGGCGCCCUUCUGCCGCGCGCUGUUUGUUGCCAGUUUGAAGUGUUCUUGUUGCACGGUGACAGUCCGUUAAUGGGUGUGGGGCCCAUAUUUUUCGCCCAUCUAUCUGCAUUAUAAAACAUUUUAGUGCAAAGCAGAUUUUGGUUUUUUUGUGGCACCUCUCUCGAGGACGCUUCCGUGCUCAAGACGACGAGAAAAAAACUGAAAAUUUGUAAUAAAAUGUUUGCUAAUAGGCGGGGGAAGUGGAGUGGAGGAGACCUUCCACUAAUUACUUAACGCUGCACAUGAAUGGCCCUUGAGCGAGGGCGUGAUUUUUGGCUUAAUUCAAAGUUGGAACCAUCUCAAUUAGUAGCUGAUGACUACUUGGAAAUGCUUAGAGAGAGUAGAGUAAUGUCCUGAGAGAACUUUAGCAUGUUCGUGGUUGUGAAUGUGGUGCAUGAAUAUUUGAGAAACUUUAAUGCUGCACGCAACAACAAUUAAGUGGUGCCUCGUUGUGUCCCACUUGGGCUGACUCGUCGGUUCCAUUCGCAUUCCUGCGACUUUCUGUAGUCAAACACGACACAACACGUAGUGGGAAUUUAUUUAAGCAAUGCAAAGCAAAUACUAGAGUGCUACGAGCUAGGGUACAGUGCGUUUCAGAGCUAUGAAGCGGCAGAAAAAUUCGUCAAAGUAGCAUCAGGAAAAAAAAACUACACCUUUGGUUGUAUAAGUUUUCUCUUUCACCUUUUGCCACGCACUGUAUGUACGAGUAUUUCCUUCCUCUCAGUUGUUAGUUUCUAGAAUUCUCGUAUUUUUUGAGUGCUUACAUAAAAAUACAUUUGAAAUGCGGUUAAGUGAGGUCGCUAAAGGAUGGGAAGCACGAGCAGAUAGCAGUUUCACCUAGGGGCCAAAAACUGACAACAUCAUCAUCAUCAUCAGCUGUGGGCCAAUCGAUGAUGAUGAUGCUUCUACUGCUGCUGAUGCCAAUGCGGCUGAUGCUGUAAUUGAUGUCUUUGCGACAUGUUCUCCC
This 1376-nucleotide long non-coding RNA is filed under the name Drosophila guanche. The stretch from base 1 to 211 matches the Rfam family "Small nucleolar RNA U3". The record is from RNAcentral. Lineage: Eukaryota; Metazoa; Arthropoda; Insecta; Diptera; Drosophilidae.